Molecule: long non-coding RNA, 456 nt
Filed under: Chrysemys picta bellii (western painted turtle)
Lineage: Eukaryota; Metazoa; Chordata; Testudines; Emydidae
Description: lncRNA (ENSCPBG00000023891.1)
Source: RNAcentral
AAACCUCUUAUUUCCAAGGGCCAUAAAACUUCACUCUGAGCUAAAGUACAGCACAGAAGGUCAUAACUUGAAAAAGAAUUUUAUUUUUAAAGAAAAGUUGAUACACACUGAACUGAUAGUUUUCAAGUUAGAGUGGGGCAAAGGACAAGGUUUUUUAUUUUCUAUUUCAAAUGCAUUUCUGUCCUAAUCUAGCUCGAUAACUGUAUUGGUUUUUCUUGAAGAAAAAGUGAAUUUUUCUAGCUUGUAACUCACUAACGCGGAUGGCUCUUUUAGAAGGAUUUUAAAGAGUAAAGGGAAGAGAUCUCCAUGUUUGUGGAUCAUUUAUACAUCAUGGCAUGACUCAACAAGUAUUAAAAAGCUGAUCUUUGCCUGGAAACAUGGAAGACUUGGGUACAUUCUGCUGAAUUCUUUUCAACAUGCAUAUUUAAAUGAUGCUGUUAUACUAUGUCUUCCAAC